Molecule: ribosomal RNA, 339 nt
Filed under: uncultured bacterium
Lineage: Bacteria
Description: bacterial SSU rRNA
Rfam family: Bacterial small subunit ribosomal RNA
Source: RNAcentral
AUUGAACGCUGGCGGAAUGCUUUACACAUGCAAGUCGAACGGUAGAGGGGGCAACCCCUUGAGAGUGGCGAACGGGUGAGUAAUAUAUCGGAACGUGCCCAGUCGUGGGGAUAACGUAGCGAAAGUUACGCUAAUACCGCAUACGAUCUAAGGAUGAAAGCGGGGGAUCGCAGACCUCGCGCGAUUGGAGCGGCCGAUAUCAGAUUAGGUAGUUGGUGAGGUAAAGGCUCACCAAGCCAACGAUCUGUAGCUGGUCUGAGAGGACGACCAGCCACACUGGAACUGAGACACGGUCCAGACUCCUACGGAGGCAGCAGUGGGAAUUUGGACAAUGGACGC